AUGGCAAGUCGAGCGGAUGACGAGGAGCUUGCUCCUCAGAUUCAGCGGCGGACAGGUGAGUAACACGUGGGCAACCUGCCUGUAAGACUGGGAUAACUUCGGGAAACCGGAGCUAAUACCGGAUAACUCUUCGGACCACAUGGACUGAAGAUAAAAGAUGGUUCUGCUAUCACUUACAGAUGGGCCCGCGGCGCAUUAGCUAGCUGGUGAGGUAACGGCUCACCAAGGCGACGAUGCGUAGCCGACCUGAGAGGGUGAUCGGCCACACUGGGACUGAGACACGGCCCAGACUCCUACGGGAGGCAGCAGUAGGGAAUCUUCCGCAAUGGACGAAAGUCUGACGGAGCAACGCCGCGUGAGCGAUGAAGGCCUUCGGGUCGUAAAGCUCUGUUGUUAGGGAAGAACAAGUAUCAGUUAACUGCUGGUACCUUGACGGUACCUAACGAGAAAGCCACGGCUAACUACGUGCCAGCAGCCGCGGUAAUACGUAGGUGGCAAGCGUUGUCCGGAUUUAUUGGGCGUAAAGCGCGCGCAGGCGGGUUCUUUAAGUCUGAUGUGAAAGCCCACGGCUCAACCGUGGAGGGUCAUUGGAAACUGGGGAACUUGAGUGCAGAAGAGGAGAGCGGAAUUCUACGUGUAGCGGUGAAAUGCGUAGAGAUGUGGAGGAACACCAGUGGCGAAGGCGGCUCUCUGGUCUGUAACUGACGCUGAGGCGCGAAAGCGUGGGGGAGCAAACAGGGAUUUAGAUACCCUGGUAGUCCACGCCGUAAACGAUGAGUGCUAAAGUGUUGGAGGGGUUUCCCGCCCCUUCAGUGCUGCAACCUAAACGCAUUAAGGCACUCCCGCCUGGGGAGUACGGUC
This 861-nucleotide ribosomal RNA is filed under the name bacterium enrichment culture clone bHCH1_F6. Its description in RNAcentral is "bacterial SSU rRNA". It matches the Rfam family "Bacterial small subunit ribosomal RNA", at positions 55 to 887 of the family's 1533-position model. The record is from RNAcentral.